AAAUGUCUCGUCGCCGCUCAGGUUUUGAUAUGCAGCCAUGUUUUGUUCCGCUGUCAAAGCCGGUGUCAAUGUGCAGCGAGAGCUGUAGUAGCAUACGCGUCAUUGAAGGACUGUUUGAAAUCUGAUUUGAGCGGCCAGGCUGAGACACACGUCUGGAAAUUCAACUUUAAUCGCAUAUCACAAACCACCGUUGAAGUGUGGUUUGAAUCUGAUAUGCAAAAAUAGGUUUCCAUGUGGUGUUUUGUUGUACAGACUUGAUAAGGGCAAUGUGAUUCCAUUCAGGAUAUGCCUUAAAUGUGAUCUGGGCUGUCGGUCUGAACAUAGCUAUACAUAUACACAUGAAUACCCAGGUCCGGGCUGAACACUGUACAUAAAUAUGUAUGUAAACUGACUUUAUACACACCCACACACACAUUUACACUCAAAUACACAGACACACAUACAAACAUGAGCCACAGCUGACCUCCUAUCUUCUUUUAUCUGGAUCAGGGAUUCUUCUCAACCCGCCUUAUUUUUCUGUUUGAUGGACUUUGGCGUAACACUAGGAAGGCCUGAUAUCCGAAGCCACUUUUACAGCCAACUAUGACCUCUCCAUGUCACGGCGUCUCAGCUGCUGUCUGCAGCCACCACAGUAUCUACUAAAAUUAUACGAUGACGGUCUGUGAAAGUUUUAUUUUAGUUUUUUUUUUUUCUAUCUGAAAGACUCUAAAGUUAGCCAUUGUGCAGGCUAACUGGUUGAAUGUUCUUUCUAGUGUUGAUAUUUGUACUUUUUUAGCUUACGUAUCCCCAUGUGGGAACAUGAAUGGUUGGUCGUAUUUACUGCCAGCUACUUUCGGGUGGAAAAUCUUUCUUUUCCCGAAACAUAUACAAUCACGAUAAAGUGCAGCACAUAUCAUUGAAGUAAAGAGAGGCUCUUCAAAAAGCAUUUUGCCUUUUGGAAAUAAUCACCAAAAGCUGGAAAACAGCCUGAAUAUCAGAUCCUCAGGGAAGCUGAUGCUGGAGGUUGACUCACUCGGUGCCAAAAGGGAUAACUAAAAUGAAAUAGCCCAUUCUGUAUAGAACAAUCAGCCAAAACAUUAACACCACUUGCCUAACAUUGUGUAAGUCCCCCUCGUGCAACCAAAACAAUUCUGACCCAUCGAAGCAUGGACUCUACAAGACCUCUGAAGGUGUCCUCUGGUAUCUGGCACCAAGAUGUUCGCAGCAGAUCCGAGUCCUAUAAGUUGUGAGGUGGGACCUCUAUGGACCGGACUUGUUUUUCCCCUGCACAUCCCACAGAUGCUUGAUCAGAUUGAGAUCUGGGGAAUUUGGAGGCCAAGGCAACACCUUAACUCUUUAUCAUGUUCCUCAAACCAUUCCUGGUUGUCCUUCCUUGGACCACGUUUGGUAGGUACUGACCACUGCAUACCAGGAACACCCUACAAGACCUGCCAUUUUGGAGAUGCUCUGACCCAGUCAUUUAGCCAUCACAAUUUGGCCCCUGUCAAAGUCGAUCAGAUCCUUAGGCUUGCCCAUUUUUCCUGUUUCCAACACAUCAACUUCAAGAACUGACUGUUCACUUGCAGCCUGUUAUAUCCCACCCCUUGACAGCUGACAUUUUAACAAGAUAAUUAAUGUUAUUCACUUACCUGUCAGUGGUUUUAAUGUUUUGGCUGAUUGGUGUUUAUAUACCCCAAAGCCCCUAAAUGCCUCAAAUUGUUGAAUUCAAUGGCAGCACUAUUGAUCACAGUCAGUUAAAUUCAAUGGAAAUGUAAAGGGGGGGGCAGCAUCUGACUUUCCUUGUCAUCAACGGCCGACAUUAUUGCCCGUGUUAAGGAAACAAUUGUUGAUCCAUGGGACAAGCCCAUUCAUCAUGAAAUUUAUUAAAUGCCCAAAGUGUUUUGUCUUCAACCGAAAAAUGAGCUGAAAAGUUGAUUUAAGGAACAUUGUUUCUUCUGGACACCGAUUAUUUCUGAGAUUGUCAAAGUGUAAAGCAAGGCAGCUCUAAUACAACAUGAGUGGUUCCAAUAGAUAAAACAGUUUAGCAGAUCUGUUGCACUUUGUCUCCUCUUGUAACUGGCAGAGAUUUCAUUUUCAGGAGGUUCUGCUCUGUUUAUGUAAACAGCUGUCAUGUAUUUGUAAUGGUAAGGUACCAUAUUCCUUCUUCACGCCUGCUCUUCUUGUUCCUGGUCACAUCCUUCAACUAAUGUUGUUUUAUUUUACUCUCUACCGCACAUACGUCCAUGAGAGAGGGUUAAAAUCCCAGAAGGAAAGAAAAUAUGUUGGUCUUUGUUUGUGUCCAAGAGCAGGUCAGCUAUUCGCAUUGUGUCUCUGUAAUGUCUUUGCUCUUCCUUCUUCAUGCUGUCAUCCUAAGAAGAAUCGUUCUUCUUGAAACUAGCACAGAGGCCAGCGAGAAAAAAAGGAUGUGCAAGUUGAGUCACUGAAAGAGACAGCUGAACAACAGGAUCCAGACAACAGUCCCAUCCAAUCAACAGCACCACCAAGUCAAGAGCCACAAACCCAAGAGACCCCUCCUCCAACCAGCCUCACUACCAGACCUCCAGAAAGCAACCCGACACAAAAUUCAAAAAUUGUGCUCCUCAUGGACUCAAAUGGGAGGAAGCAGAGGGAGGUCAGAAUGGCAGUCAGGAGGAGGUCAAGAGGACAGUGAACAGGCAAGACCUGUAGCAAAGAGAUAGCAGCAGCCCUUCUACAACCCCAGGAGGGACAGCUGCACGAUUUGCAGCCAGGAGACUGGAUUCUAGUGAAGGACCAGAGGAGGAAACAUUGACGUAAACCAUGGUGGCUGGGACCAUACAAGCUGCUCCUCACCACUGCCAUGGCAGUGAAGAUUGCAGAGAGAGCCACGUUGAUCCACGCCAACCACUGCAGACAGGCCCCUGGACUCCCGGGGGACAGCAGCCAACAAGAGAGGGAGGACAGUGGUGCAAAACCCGCUCCCCCCGCAGAGGAAGAGCAGCAGAUGACCUCAGCUUAAAGGAUCGACACCACCCACAGGUGGUAGCAGCAAUGUCAAGAAAUGGAUAGGAGGAGAUGGAGUUGGCAUGGCCACCCAGUACAUGGCUCUUCAGCAGAAAGAAGAUCAGUCACAUGAUGACCUAGACUAGACACCCCCAGGUUAUGAGUGGCAUGGCAGAACUGCUGAAGUGACACAGCCAGGUCAAGCCCCUGACAUGACUGUGUUUCCGUGAAACCUUGUACAACUGCUUUAAGUAAGAGUGCUCACUGAGUAUUGAAUGUGUGGCUGCAUAUGCACAUUUUAUUGUGUGAUAGUUGAAACUAUAACCUUAAAACUGUUCUUUUAUACCCUGCCAUUUAUAUACCACAUUAGGUUUCUGUGUUAUGCCUCCUGCGCCACGUUUGUUUUCUCCUUAAGUCAGUAUUAUAUGCAGAAAGGGAGGAAAUGUAAGGGGAAAACAAACUUGACUGAGGCAUAGUGGAAAGGUACUGAGGAAGUUAGCAAACUCAGCAGAGUGGGAAAAUACAAAAAAAAGGGUCUCAGUGAGGACAUUUACAGAGAUUUUCUUAUGAAGUUACCUAAACAGGAAUGGAAAUGGGAGCACGACAGAUAAGACCUCAUACAAUCCCUUUGUAGCUUGCUCAGAAAGCGUAUAAAGCAGGAGAAAAAACAAGAGACGGCGCGCACUUCUGUAGCUAUGCUUGAUGUGUGCCAUGCUUAAACAUGAAUAAAGUGUGAUAAUGCUCUGUAAUAAUCUGGUAAAACAAAUGUAAAACAUUAAAGGUGUC
This is a long non-coding RNA of Lampris incognitus (smalleye Pacific opah), 3747 nucleotides long. RefSeq lists it as uncharacterized. The transcript is spliced from 4 exons. The record is from RefSeq and is a predicted model, not a curated record. NCBI's taxonomy places the organism in Eukaryota, Metazoa, Chordata, Actinopteri, Lampriformes, Lampridae.